This 652-nucleotide ribosomal RNA is filed under the name uncultured Bacteroidales bacterium. Its description in RNAcentral is "bacterial SSU rRNA". It matches the Rfam family "Bacterial small subunit ribosomal RNA", at positions 70 to 716 of the family's 1533-position model. The record is from RNAcentral. Lineage: Bacteria; Pseudomonadati; Bacteroidota; Bacteroidia; Bacteroidales.
CAUAAUGGAUAGCAAUAUCUAUGGUGGCGACCGGCGCACGGGUGCGUAACGCGUAUGCAACCUACCUUUAACAGGGGGAUAACACUGAGAAAUUGGUACUAAUACCCCAUAAUAUCAUAGAAGGCAUCUUUUAUGGUUGAAAAUUCCGAUGGUUAGAGAUGGGCAUGCGUUGUAUUAGCUAGUUGGUGGGGUAACGGCUCACCAAGGCGACGAUACAUAGGGGGACUGAGAGGUUAACCCCCCACACUGGUACUGAGACACGGACCAGACUCCUACGGGAGGCAGCAGUGAGGAAUAUUGGUCAAUGGACGCAAGUCUGAACCAGCCAUGCCGCGUGCAGGAUGACGGCUCUAUGAGUUGUAAACUGCUUUUGUACGAGGGUAAACGCAGAUACGUGUAUCUGUCUGAAAGUAUCGUACGAAUAAGGAUCGGCUAACUCCGUGCCAGCAGCCGCGGUAAUACGGAGGAUUCAAGCGUUAUCCGGAUUUAUUGGGUUUAAAGGGUGCGUAGGCGGUUUGAUAAGUUAGAGGUGAAAUUUCGGGGCUCAACCCUGAACGUGCCUCUAAUACUGUUGAGCUAGAGAGUAGUUGCGGUAGGCGGAAUGUAUGGUGUAGCGGUGAAAUGCUUAGAGAUCAUACAGAACACCGAUUGC